AUCCUUUUUUGGUUCAUAAGUGUGAUGACUGGGUUUUCAUGCUCAUGUGUGAGAUGUGCCUCCCUCAAACCUUGUUACUAGUCGGCACAUUACCUGUCUCAUG
Molecule: small nucleolar RNA, 103 nt
Organism: Lemur catta (Ring-tailed lemur)
Lineage: Eukaryota; Metazoa; Chordata; Mammalia; Primates; Lemuridae
Product: small nucleolar RNA U13
Exons: 1
Source: RefSeq, a predicted model, not a curated record